AUUGAACGCUGGCGGCAGGCUUAACACAUGCAAGUCGAACGAGUGGCGGACGGGUGAGUAAUGCUUGGGAAUCUAGCUUAUGGAGGGGGAUAACUACGGGAAACUGUAGCUAAUACCGCGUACCAUAGGAUGAGCCCAAGGGGGAUUAGGUAGUUGGUGAGGUAAAGGCUCACCAAGCCGACGAUCUCUAGCUGGUCUGAGAGGAUGACCAGCCACACUGAGACUGAGACAGGCCCCAGAGUCCUAGGGGAGGCAGCAGUGGGAAUAUUGCGCAAUGGGGGGAACCCUGACGCGGCAAUGCCGCGUGAAUGAAGAAGGCCUUCGGGUUGUAAAGUACUUUCAGCGGGGAGGCGUUACCCGCAGAAGAAGCACCGGCUAACUCCGUGCCAGCAGCCGCGGUAAUAC
This 405-nucleotide ribosomal RNA is filed under the name uncultured bacterium. RNAcentral's name for it is "partial 16S ribosomal RNA". It matches the Rfam family "Bacterial small subunit ribosomal RNA", at positions 30 to 526 of the family's 1533-position model. The record is from RNAcentral.